Molecule: long non-coding RNA, 1027 nt
Organism: Rosa chinensis
Lineage: Eukaryota; Viridiplantae; Streptophyta; Magnoliopsida; Rosales; Rosaceae
Exons: 2
Source: RefSeq, a predicted model, not a curated record
ACCCGAACGGUGUGCUCCCUCCCUUAGCUCAAAAUUUAGGUCACUCUCCCUCCCAAAUCAUUCUCGGCCUGCUCUCUCAUUCACCAUCGCUCUCUCCCUCAAUCCCCCUCACCCUCAUCGAGCCUCUUAGCCUUGCCCUCGCUCUCACUCUCUCUCACUCUCAGUGGGUUUUUCUACUUCAACCUCUGAUACUGCAAGGCAACAUGUAAUUUGCAGAAGUAAGGAGAGAAACGGAGAAUGAAGAGAUCGACAAACUACUUGCAGACCCACUCAGGCAACGAUUGAAGAGCAGAGAGAAGACUGUAGUGCGAAAUAGAAGCAACUGGAGUUCGAGAAAGCUGUCGAAGUUGCAGAUGAAGGUCCAAUUUCGACCCUUUAAUUCUCCGAGUCAAUCGAAUUGAAUCCGACAAUUUCAAGCUAGGUGAAACAAGAAUCGUUGACAAAGUUCCAGUGGUGAUCAUGGAACUGAGUUGAAUCGAUAGGUAUGUUCUUGGACCAAGCAUGAUUGUUUGAUAGGUAUGUUUUUGUUUGAUUAAAAAAAGAAGAUGAUUAUCUGUUGAAAUUUUAAUUUUAUAAACCUCCAGUCUUAGUUUUAUGAUCCAUUUGGUAAAAGGAAAGAUGGGAACUACCCUGGUGCUGUCCCUGCUGCAAAUGGAGCUCCACCAGCUAUGACAUACCAGUAGCUUGAGGGGGAUGUACUCUGUUCCUUAUGCUACCGACAAACACAACCACAUGAUAGGAUGCAUCUUGCAGCGCGUGCAUCCAUUUCAUAGUCACGUCAUCAGCAUCAUUAUCUCUCUUCAUGUGAAUGAAUGCAGUGGCAUCAUGAACAUACCAUUUGGUCAUGUUAUACUGAUUUGAGACAUGCAUUUAUAAUCAGUGUGUGUUAAUUCCUGGAUAUUAGGGGCUAAAUUACUGUUAUCACCUGUAGGAUGAGUAAUGCAUGGGUCUCCUGGUUUGUUGGAUUUGAGUGUGAUCUGCUUAAUAUUAUGUACAUCAAUACUAGGAAUGCACAUCUAUCUAGACA